AACAGGGAUUGCCUCAGUAGCGGCGAGUGAAGCGGCAAAAGCUCAAAUUUGAAAUCUGGCGUCUUUGGCGUCCGAGUUGUAAUUUGAAGAAGGUAUCUUUGGGCCCGGCUCUUGUCUAUGGUUCCUUGGAACAGGACGUCACAGAGGGUGAGAAUCCCGUGCGAUGAGAUGACCCGGGUCUGUGUAAAGUUCCUUCGACGAGUCGAGUUGUUUGGGAAUGCAGCUCUAAGUGGGUGGUAAAUUCCAUCUAAAGCUAAAUAUUGGCGAGAGACCGAUAGCGAACAAGUACAGUGAUGGAAAGAUGAAAAGAACUUUGAAAAGAGAGUGAAAAAGUACGUGAAAUUGUUGAAAGGGAAGGGCUUGAGAUCAGACUUGGUAUUUUGCAUGCUGCUCUCUCGGGGGCGGCCGCUGCGGUUUACCGGGCCAGCAUCGGUUUGGAGCGGCAGGAUAAUGGCGGAGGAAUGUGGCACGGCUUCUGCUGUGUGUUAUAGCCUCUGACGAUACUGCCAGCCUAGACCGAGGACUGCGGUUUUUACCUAGGAUGUUGGCAUAAUGAUCUUAAGUCGC
This 567-nucleotide ribosomal RNA is filed under the name Candida albicans. RNAcentral's name for it is "eukaryotic LSU rRNA". It matches the Rfam family "Eukaryotic large subunit ribosomal RNA", at positions 67 to 648 of the family's 3401-position model. The record is from RNAcentral. Lineage: Eukaryota; Fungi; Ascomycota; Pichiomycetes; Serinales; Debaryomycetaceae.